Molecule: transfer RNA, 77 nt
Filed under: Mycoplasmataceae bacterium
Lineage: Bacteria; Bacillati; Mycoplasmatota; Mollicutes; Mycoplasmatales; Mycoplasmataceae
Description: tRNA-Glu
Rfam family: tRNA
About the family: Transfer RNA (tRNA) molecules are approximately 80 nucleotides in length. Their secondary structure includes four short double-helical elements and three loops (D, anti-codon, and T loops). Further hydrogen bonds mediate the characteristic L-shaped molecular structure. tRNAs have two regions of fundamental functional importance: the anti-codon, which is responsible for specific mRNA codon recognition, and the 3' end, to which the tRNAs corresponding amino acid is attached (by aminoacyl-tRNA synthetases). tRNAs cope with the degeneracy of the genetic code in two manners: having more than one tRNA (with a specific anti-codon) for a particular amino acid; and 'wobble' base-pairing, i.e. permitting non-standard base-pairing at the 3rd anti-codon position.
Source: RNAcentral
GGCCCAUUGGUGAAGCGACUUAACACAUGCGCCUUUCACGCGUACAUUCAUGGGUUUGAAUCCCGUAUGGGUCACCA